This 1274-nucleotide ribosomal RNA is filed under the name metagenome. RNAcentral's name for it is "SSU rRNA". It matches the Rfam family "Eukaryotic small subunit ribosomal RNA", at positions 1 to 1309 of the family's 1831-position model. The record is from RNAcentral.
UCUGGUUGAUCCUGCCAGUAGUCAUAUGCUUGUCUCAAAGAUUAAGCCAUGCAUGUCUAAGUAUAAAUAGUAUACAGUGAAACUGCGAAUGGCUCAUUAAAACAGUUAUAGUUUAUUUGAUAAUUGACAAUUACAUGGAUAACCGUGGUAAUUCUAGAGCUAAUACAUGCUUAAACGCCCGACUUUAUGGAAGGGUGGUAUUUAUUAGACUGAAGCCAAUAUUCCUUGUGUCUAUUGCGGUGAUUCAUAAUAACUGAUCGAAUCUCUUUUUGAGAUAAAUCAUUCAAGUUUCUGCCCUAUCAGCUUUCGAUGGUAGUGUAUUGGACUACCAUGGCAGUAACGGGUAACGAAGAAUUAGGGUUCGAUUUCGGAGAGGGAGCAUGAGAAACGGCUACCACAUCUAAGGAAGGCAGCAGGCGCGUAAAUUACCCAAUCCUGACUCAGGGAGGUAGUGACAAGAAAUAGCAAACCGGGAACCUCAUGGUUUCACGGUAUUGCAAUGAGAACAAUUUAAAACCCUUAGCGAGAAUCAAGUGGAGGACAAGUCUGGUGCCAGCACCCGCGGUAAUUCCAGCUCCACUAGCGUAUAUUAAAGUUGUUGCAGUUAAAAAGCUCGUAGUUGAACCUCUGUCUGGGGCUAGUUUUGGCUUUGAUCAGGCUAGUUCUAGGCAUCCGCCUACAAGACUUAGAGGGCAUUCAGUUGUUCACUAGGAGGAGUAGGCAUUUUACUUUGAAAAAAUUAGAGUGUUUAAGGCAGGCAAUCGCCCGCAUAUAUUAGCAUGGAAUAAUAGAAUAGGACACUUUUCCAUUUCGUUGGUUAUUGGAAUCGUGUAAUGAUUAAUAGGGACAGUUGUGGGCAUUUGUAUUUAAUUGUCAGAGGUGAAAUUCUUGGAUUUAUUAAAGACAAACUAACGCGAAAGCAUUUGCCAAGGAUGUUUUCAUUAAUCAAGAACGAAAGUUAGGGGAUCAAAGACGAUCAGAUACCGUCCUAGUCUUAACUAUAAACUAUUCCGACUCAAUGUUUGACUGGCUUAUAUAACCAGUUGAGCGUUGUAUGAGAAAUCAAAGUCUUUAGGUUCUGGGGGGAGUAUGGUUGCAAAGCUGAAACUUAAAGGAAUUGACGGAAGAGCACAACCAGGAGUGGAUUCUGCGGCUUAAUUUGACUCAACACGGGGAAACUUACCAGGUUAAAACAAUAGUGGGAUUGACAGUUUGAGAGCGCUUUCUUGAUUGGUUGGGUGGUGGUGCAUGGCCGUUCUUAGUUGGUGGAGUGA